AUACGGAGGGCGCAAGCGUUGUUCGGAAUCAUUGGGCGUAAAGCGCGUGUAGGCGGCUUGGCAAGUCGGGUGUGAAAGCCCGGGGCUCAACCCCGGAAAUGCAUUCGAAACUGCCUGGCUAGAGUUCCGGAGAGGAAGGCAGAAUUCCCGGUGUAGAGGUGAAAUUCGUAGAUAUCGGGAGGAAUACCAGUGGCGAAGGCGGCCUUCUGGACGGCAACUGACGCUGAGACGCGAAAGCGUGGGGAGCAAACAGGAUUAGAUACCCCGGUAGUCC
This 274-nucleotide ribosomal RNA is filed under the name uncultured bacterium. RNAcentral describes it as "partial 16S ribosomal RNA". It matches the Rfam family "Bacterial small subunit ribosomal RNA", at positions 523 to 796 of the family's 1533-position model. The record is from RNAcentral.